CAUUAAGUGACUGAAAGUAAGUAAUGGUCUCUUAAACCAGUCUAUGGUAAUUAACACUUACCCUUAAUG
Molecule: transfer RNA, 69 nt
Filed under: Meccus longipennis
Lineage: Eukaryota; Metazoa; Arthropoda; Insecta; Hemiptera; Reduviidae
Description: tRNA-Lys
Source: RNAcentral